This 477-nucleotide ribosomal RNA is filed under the name uncultured bacterium. RNAcentral's name for it is "partial 16S ribosomal RNA". It matches the Rfam family "Bacterial small subunit ribosomal RNA", at positions 28 to 507 of the family's 1533-position model. The record is from RNAcentral.
GAUGAACGCUGGCGGCGUGCCUAACACAUGCAAGUCGAACGAAGCACCUUACCUGAUUCUUCGGAUGAAAGUUUGGUGACUGAGUGGCGGACGGGUGAGUAACGCGUGGGUAACCUGCCCUGUACAGGGGGAUAACAGCUGGAAACGGCUGCUAAUACCGCAUAAGCGCACGAGGAGACAUCUCCUUGUGUGAAAAACUCCGGUGGUACAGGAUGGGCCCGCGUCUGAUUAGCUGGUUGGCAGGGUAACGGCCUACCAAGGCAACGAUCAGUAGCCGGUCUGAGAGGAUGAACGGCAACAUUGGAACUGAGACACGGUCCAAACUCCUACGGGAGGCAGCAGUGGGGAAUAUUGAACAAUGGGGGAAACCCUGAUGCAGCAACGCCGCGUGAGUGAAGAAGUAUUUCGGUAUGUAAAGCUCUAUCAGCAGGGAAGAUAAUGACGGUACCUGACUAAGAAGCUCCGGCUAAAUACGUG